This 227-nucleotide ribosomal RNA is filed under the name uncultured bacterium. Its description in RNAcentral is "partial 16S ribosomal RNA". It matches the Rfam family "Bacterial small subunit ribosomal RNA", at positions 585 to 810 of the family's 1533-position model. The record is from RNAcentral.
AAGUCGGGUGUGAAAUCCCUUCGGCUCAACCGAGGAAUUGCGCCCGAUACUGCAGGCCUUGAGCGUAGGAGGGGAGAGUGGAACUCCUGGUGGAGCGGUGAAAUGCUUUGAUAUCAGGAGGAACGCCGGUGGCGAAAGCGGCUCUCUGGCCUACUGCUGACGCUGAGGCGCGAAAGCUAGGGGAGCAAACGGGAUUAGAUACCCCGGUAGUCCUAGCUGUAAACGAU